RNAcentral lists this ribosomal RNA (468 nucleotides) under uncultured bacterium. RNAcentral's name for it is "partial 16S ribosomal RNA". It matches the Rfam family "Bacterial small subunit ribosomal RNA", at positions 28 to 507 of the family's 1533-position model. The record is from RNAcentral.
GACGAACGCUGGCGGCGUGCUUAACACAUGCAAGUCGAACGGAAAGGCCCUGCUUUUGUGGGGUGCUCGAGUGGCGAACGGGUGAGUAACACGUGAGUAACCUGCCCUUGACUUUGGGACAACUUCAGGAAACUGGGGCUAAUACCGGAUAGGAGCUCCUGCUGCAUGGUGGGGGUUGGAAAGUUUCGGCGGUUGGGGAUGGACUCGCGGCUUAUCAGCUUGUUGGUGGGGUAGUGGCUUACCAAGGCUUUGACGGGUAGCCGGCCUGAGAGGGUGACCGGCCGCAUUGGGACUGAGAUACGGCCCAGACUCCUACGGGAGGCAGCAGUGGGGAAUAUUGCACAAUGGGCGGAAGCCUGAUGCAGCAACGCCGCGUGCGGGAUGACGGCCUUCGGGUUGUAAACCGCUUUCGCCUGUGACGAAGCGUGAGUGACGGUAAUGGGUAAAGAAGCACCGGCUAACUACGUG